This 234-nucleotide ribosomal RNA is filed under the name uncultured bacterium. RNAcentral describes it as "partial 16S ribosomal RNA". It matches the Rfam family "Bacterial small subunit ribosomal RNA", at positions 100 to 334 of the family's 1533-position model. The record is from RNAcentral.
CGGUACGGGUGCGUAACACGUGUGCAACCUGCCUUUAUCUGGGGGAUAGCCUUCGAAGGAAGAUUAAUACUCCAUAAUAUAUUGAACGGCAUCGUUUAAUAUUGAAAGCUCCGGCGGAUAGAGAUGGGCACGCGCAAGAUUAGCUAGUUGGUGAGGUAACGGCUCACCAAGGCGAUGAUCUUUAGGGGGCCUGAGAGGGUGAUCCCCCCACACUGGUACUGAGACACGGACCAG